This 63-nucleotide transfer RNA is filed under the name Terrisswalkerius montislewisi. RNAcentral's name for it is "tRNA-Asp". Lineage: Eukaryota; Metazoa; Annelida; Clitellata; Crassiclitellata; Megascolecidae. The record is from RNAcentral.
NAAUACUAGUUAAAAAAAAUAACAAUGCCUUGUCAAGGCUUAAUUACCGCCGGUGUAUCUCAU